This 203-nucleotide long non-coding RNA is filed under the name Prunus persica (peach). RNAcentral describes it as "long non-coding RNA (PPER_LNC000538)". Lineage: Eukaryota; Viridiplantae; Streptophyta; Magnoliopsida; Rosales; Rosaceae. The record is from RNAcentral.
GGAGACCAUCAUUGUUGAGAACAUGCACCAACGAAGAUGGUGGCCUGUUACCCAGGUCACAGGGUUCGUCUUCGCACUUGCCAGAGUCGCAGUGUGAUCUGCUACCACAUUAGCCAUUCUUGGACACCAAGCCCAGCUAGUAUCAACAAAAUUUGGAUGACCAAGCUGCUCCUUUAUCUUACAGAGGAAAGGAUACCGCUCCC